Molecule: ribosomal RNA, 413 nt
Filed under: uncultured bacterium
Lineage: Bacteria
Description: partial 16S ribosomal RNA
Rfam family: Bacterial small subunit ribosomal RNA
Source: RNAcentral
UGGGGAAUUUUGGGACAAUGGGCGAAAGCCUGAUCCAGCAAUGCCGCGUGUGUGAAGAAGGCCUUCGGGUUGUAAAGCACUUUUGUCCGGAAAGAAAUCCUUGGCUCUAAUACAGUCGGGGGAUGACGGUACCGGAAGAAUAAGCACCGGCUAACUACGUGCCAGCAGCCGCGGUAAUACGUAGGGUGCAAGCGUUAAUCGGAAUUACUGGGCGUAAAGCGUGCGCAGGCGGUUUGCUAAGACCGAUGUGAAAUCCCCGGGCUCAACCUGGGACUGCAUUGGCGANUGGCAGGGCUAGAGUAUGGCAGAGGGGGGUAGAAUUCCACGUNUAGCAGUGAAAUGCGUAGAGAUGUGGAGGAAUACCGAUGGCGAAGGCAGCCCCCUGGGCAAGUACUGACGCUCAUGCACGAAAA